UAUCGCCGGCGUUCGAAACGGUCGCAAGUGGAUUGAUGCCGUUUGCCUUUGCGGAAUAACGACCCGUCCUGAUUCGUGGAUGAAUACAGAUUACAACCGUUUUAGCAGAAUGACAAUGGACGUCCAUCAGCACAGAAACGUGACGACGGCUGCGUCCUCGUCACCACCGUCGCGGUACUCACCGCCAGUGGCCGCCGGAAUCGCGCAGCCGGUGCAGACUUCCUUGCCCGCAACUGUGGUCGCGUUGCACCAGCGGCCGCAGAAGCGGAGUUUCGACGUGGCGUUCCUGAUGGCACCGGAUGACCUGAGCAAGCGAAGGCCGCGGCCAAUGCAGGCUGCACAGCCCGUAGCCCGGUCUGCGUUCACCAAAGUGUCACCGGACCCGCCGUUAUCACUUUCGCCGGUCUCGUCUCCGGCCACGCCACCACCCUCAGAUUUUGCAGCCUACAUGCACCACAGCCAGCUGCACCACCAGCAGCAUCACGGUCAGCCGCAGCCACAAAUCCACCCACAUCCCCUUCAGUCACAGCAAGAGUGCAGCCUCAGCCCACCCCUGCCACCGGUCGCGGCGCAUUUUAUGUCGCCGUUUCCGCUUGGCUUCCGGUCGCCGUUCGCGCUGAUGAUGCCACCACGGCCGCAACCCACCGCGGUCGGCUGCAAAGACUAUCCGUCGCCGCUCCAACCAUCGCCUCAGUCACACCACCACCAUCAGCAGCAGCCACAGCAGCAGCAGCAGCAGCAGCAGCAACACCACCACCAGCUGCAGUCGUUGUCGACACCGUCGCCGUUGCAGUUCGGGCAGGCGGCGGCAGCGGCAGCAGCCGUGGCCGCUCUCCCGGCGAUGCUGUUACCCGCGUCCAUUGCCGCAGCAGCUCUUACAUUACCUUCACAAAACGUGUGCGCCAAGUGUAACGUGAGCUUCCGCAUGACAUCCGAUCUGGUGUACCACAUGCGGUCCCACCACAAGGGUGGUGAUGGAAACGGUGGCGUUGGCACCGGCAGCGGUGUAGGAAGCGGUGUUGGUGGCGGGGUUGGUGUAGGAGGCACGGGUGUCGGUGUGGAUGCCAAGAAACGACGUGACAUGGAUAAGCUCCGGUGUCCGGUGUGCGACGAGAGCUUCCGGGAACGGCACCACCUAACGCGACACAUGACCGCGCAUCAGGACAAGGAGGGCGACCGGCUGGACGACGAGGACGACGUGCCGUUGCAGCAACAGCACCACCAGCUGCACCAGCACCAAGGGGCCAAAUGACGCAAGGCGGCCGCGGGUGGACGGAGGCGUAACGCCUCGUACUCGCGCUUCGCGAACGAUCAUCGCGUUUAGAAGAUUCCUCAUCUCCUCGGCAUUUAUACGCCAACCCUAUCCCGUCACAUCGACCCACCCGUUCCUCCAUCCACAUUGACCGAAUCUUACUGUUUGUACGUUUAAGUACAAACGAUUCAUGUUAUCAAAUUAUGAUUCAGUAGGUAGCCUCCAAUAUACCGCAAACGGUGCGUAGUGAUAUACCAGAUGUUCGAAUGGUAUCACAUAAACUUACGUCGUUCCCCGCACAUGAAGAUCUCUUCACUCAGAAGACUCUUGUAAUUGUUACUUAUAUAUAUAUAUAGACUAACCCGUGUUAACAUACACCUACUUAGGUUUUAGUUGAUUUAUUGAGUUUUUCUUACGAACGAUUAACAGUGAUUUUAGGUACUUACAAUUAUUACCCGAUUUGAUUUUUGAAAUCACAAAACACUAAAUACAUUUUAACGAAGAUUGGACCCGUUAUUGACGCUUAAACAACUAUCGACAUCUCAAUAUAACAUUAUAAUACGUUUUAUGUAUCGAAAUUAUUUUUAAUUUAUAUUAUACAACCACAUAUUAUAACCUAAAUAUAGAAACGGACCUAUUAACCGCGAUUAAUACAAUACAUAAUAUUAAAUUAUAAUAAUAUAUCGUAAUUUCUUUUUAAAUGUAUACAUUGUUCGUAUUAUAUUUCAUUCAGAUCUCGUAAUCUUAGUUGUUGAGAUUUGUUUUAUAGAAUUAAAAUUAUAAUCAGGCAAAGCGAUGGAAAGUAGAUGCCUCACUGGUGUUUUUUGUACACAUGUGUUUUUCGUAUGUUAUAGAAUUGUGUAGCUUAAUGCGAAUUCGCGUUUAAAUAGGAUUAAAAAUUAACUGCGUUCAAGACGGUCAUAUAAUUUUCAAUUACUUUGCAUGGAUAAUAUGAAUAUUUUUUUUAUAUUACUCGAAUUCGAUUUUAGCCGGUCUUGUAGUUUUCUUUUUUUGCGAAGCAUAUACAUAUACAUAUACUUUACCCUCUAAUGCGAAAACAAGGGUGACCAUUAGGGUCGACAAAAAUGACAAAUGUCCAUACAAAUCACAGUCGAAUACGAGUAAUAAUUAACCGUGUCCACGAGGGUUGGUCGACGAGGGGUGGGGAUAAAUUUAAUUCUGUAAUGGGGUCCGAUAAAUAGAUUAAAAUGCCCUUUUGGCCUUAAUAAAUAUUGUCACGUGAUCACUGUUUGUAUAAUUUUAGUAUUAAAAUUAAAUGGACCGAAAUCAAAUGAUAGCGAUUUUAAAAUGCAUCUCUCUAUAAUAUUACAUCUGUAUAGGGUUACCUAGCUAUAUAUCCACGCACAACAUUUUCCCUACGUGAUAUCACUUCAUGACGUAUGCAGUGAACUCAAAAAUCUAGUAUAGAUGUAUGCGUGGGCGUGUGUAUAUUAUGAUUGUUACUAAUUUUUUUGAUAAAUAGUAAAAUAUAAUAUUUAGUUAGUCUGUGUAUCAUCGUUCAAUGAUAAUGUUCCGAUAAUAAUUUUAGGCUCCAUAUCCUUUGUUCGUAAAUAAUAUUAUGCAUAUUAUUCGUAUUAAUUAGGUAGAUACUAUAUUGAAUGUAAUAUUGGUUCGUAAUAUGUUUUAAAUUUAAAUAUAACUUCAGCUAAAUAUUAAUCGAGUGUGUCAAUAUAUUAAUAUAGUAGAGUUUAAGUGUAUUUUCAAUUGUAUAAAUAUUAUUUAA
This 2996-nucleotide unclassified non-coding RNA is filed under the name Diuraphis noxia (Russian wheat aphid). RNAcentral describes it as "box A-binding factor, transcript variant X2". The record is from RNAcentral. Lineage: Eukaryota; Metazoa; Arthropoda; Insecta; Hemiptera; Aphididae.